Molecule: long non-coding RNA, 269 nt
Organism: Magnolia sinica
Lineage: Eukaryota; Viridiplantae; Streptophyta; Magnoliopsida; Magnoliales; Magnoliaceae
Exons: 3
Source: RefSeq, a predicted model, not a curated record
CGUUGUCUUUCGGAGUACAAUUCGAUAAAUUGUUUGAGGUUUAGUAUUAGUUGCAAGGCCACUUAUAAUCUGUGAAGUCAGGGCAGCUAUUUAUGGGGAGCAGAUUUUGAUAGGAAGAGCGUCUUAAGGUACAGGUUUAGCUUCCAACUCUACCCAUUAAAUUGAGAAGGGUGUUUCAGAUGGCAGACAAAUCAUCUGACGCUCCAAAGAAGAUGAAAUUUGUGCCGAAAAUUCCUCCUCGCAAACUCCCGAGGCCUGAACCCAAGAGG